Molecule: transfer RNA, 72 nt
Filed under: Bos taurus (domestic cattle)
Lineage: Eukaryota; Metazoa; Chordata; Mammalia; Artiodactyla; Bovidae
Also listed under: 2 other names
Rfam family: tRNA
About the family: Transfer RNA (tRNA) molecules are approximately 80 nucleotides in length.
Source: Rfam by way of RNAcentral
UCCCUGGCAGUCCAGUGGCUAGGACUCGGUGCUUUCACUGCUGGGGCCCAGGUUCGAUCCCUGAUUGGGGAA